This 508-nucleotide ribosomal RNA is filed under the name uncultured bacterium. Its description in RNAcentral is "partial 16S ribosomal RNA". It matches the Rfam family "Bacterial small subunit ribosomal RNA", at positions 28 to 507 of the family's 1533-position model. The record is from RNAcentral.
GACGAACGCUGGCGGCGUGCCUAAUACAUGCAAGUCGAGCGCAGGAAGUCAUCCGACCCCUUCGGGGGGACGUUGACGGAAUGAGCGGCGGACGGGUGAGUAACACGUAAAGAACCUGCCCUCAGGUCUGGGAUAACCACGAGAAAUCGGGGCUAAUACCGGAUGGGUCAUCGGACCGCAUGGUCCGAGGAUGAAAGGCGCUCCGGCGUCGCCUGGGGAUGGCUUUGCGGUGCAUUAGCUAGUUGGUGGGGUAAUGGCCCACCAAGGCGACGAUGCAUAGCCGACCUGAGAGGGUGAUCGGCCACACUGGGACUGAGACACGGCCCAGACUCCUACGGGAGGCAGCAGUAGGGAAUCUUCCACAAUGGGCGAAAGUCUGAUGGAGCAACGCCGCGUGAACGAUGAAGGCCCUCGGGUCGUAAAGUUCUGUUGUAAGGGAAGAACAAGUGCCGCAGGCAAUGGCGGCACCUUGACGGUACCUUGCGAGAAGGCCACGGCUAACUACGUG